Molecule: long non-coding RNA, 4173 nt
Organism: Beta vulgaris subsp. vulgaris (sugar beet)
Lineage: Eukaryota; Viridiplantae; Streptophyta; Magnoliopsida; Caryophyllales; Amaranthaceae
Exons: 3
Source: RefSeq, a predicted model, not a curated record
UAAUUUGACUAAUUACUAUUUAAAUUAAUUUGAAAUUGAAUAAUUUAGAGAUUAAUUGCAAGAGAAAUCCCUGAAGAAUUGUUUGCAGAUAAGCGAGCAUGUAGUUCUUUGAAGCCUAGACCAAGUUCAUCCACUGUAACGUCCGAAACACUUGUUAAUUCAAAUAAUGGAGAUUUCAACAUGCGUGAAGAUGAUAGGGAGACUUCAUAAACUUCUGUUGAAUAUCCUAAUACAACUGAUGACAGACAACAUCCAAUAACAACAACAAACUCAACCACUUGGAUAACAUAAUCAUAACAAAAGGCCAGCUCACAUCAACCCUCUUCUUUUCUUCUUGAUAGUGUAACAUAUAAAUAGAUCUCUGCAGUCAUUAUAUAUUCAUUCAUUCAAACACUUAGAUUUCUCUAGGUUGUAAUUCUCUCUCAAUAAAUGUAUUAGUUUCUACUUUCUAGUUCCUAAUAAGCUCAAAUAAAGAGAGCAAUGAGGGAUGAAAUUAUUGGUGUGUUCUUCAUCAUUCUUUGAAGCUUUUAUUUAUCUUUGAAAUCGUACCAUGGUAUUAGAGCUUACAGUUGCGAUUUUGGAAGUUUAUUUAAUCAAUUGUUCUUCAUUUUUUCAGUUCAACCAAAAUUUAGAGAUAUAUCUUUUUCAACUUUCUCUCGAAAUUCCGCUGCUAUUUUUCUGCGUUUUAAUGCGCUUAUUUCUUCAAAUAGAACCAACUAUUGCUUCAUUGAAUUAUAUUUGCUGAUUAAUCAUCUGAUUGUUCGAACAAUUCAUAAAAUCGUCAUUUUAUCAUUGACUUUUUCAAUCAAUUUGUCAUCUGAUUCAUCAAAUCUUCUUUAUUCUUCAUUAACUGUAAGACAUCAUCAUGUGUUGUUAUUUCUUCAUUCAAUUUCUCAAUUAAUUCUUGAAAUCUCAAUAUUCUGAAAAAUGACAAAUGCAAAGACUGAUACUUCACAAAAUCCUACGUCUCCGUUUUACAUUCAUCCUUCUUAGUUCUGAUAAUUCUGGAAUGAAACUGAUUUCACUUUAAUUCAAUGGAAGUGGCCAUGGUGAUUGGAAACCCUCAAUGUUCUUAGUCUAUCACCUAAAAACAAAUUAGGAUUUGUUGAUGGCACGAUUUCUAAACCUGACUUUGAUAAUGCUAUGUUCAAAGCAUGGGAGGGAUGCAAAAGUAUAGUUGUUUGAGGUUUUAGCACUGCUCAUGAAAUUUGGACUAACCUUCAAGAGAGGUAUGGCCAGUCAUCUGGUCCUUAGAUGCUCUCUGAAACAAGCUUUGCAUGACAUAAAACAAGUAGAUAAAUAUUUCUAGUUACUAUAAUAAGAUCAAGAUGCUAGGAGGUCAAUUGGACUCCAUAGAGCCAGUUCCUACAUGUGAAUGCAAGAGCUGCAGAUGUGGUAUUAUUACUAAGAAGCUGUUGAAAUCUUAAUAAGACAUGCACCUUGUUAAGUUCGUGAUAAGAUUAAGUGAUGGCCAUGAAGUUGUUAGGGGAAGUAUCUGGAAGUAUCUUAAUGAUGUCUCCAUUACCCGAAUUAUCUCAAGCAUCAGUAGUAGUUAUCUCAACUUCACAAUAUUUCAGAAUAAUCCAUGUCAUUUGCAAGAAUUGCAGCUAAGAGAAGGUUUGGAGAUUACUCCGACAAACCUAAAUAUUUUGGUGGCAACAACUAAGAGACAGUACUCUGGCAGUUAUUGAAGAGAUAAACAUGUCUGGUCAUACCAAGCAAAUUAUCCAGCUAAUUUUUUCAAACAUGAGAAAGGGAAAAAGCUGUUAUUACUCAGGUUGAGGAGCAUAAUAAGCAAUCUGGUCUAUAGAGGUGUUCAACAGGCUUGGGGCAUGUUUUCAGCUCUCAUCCAGCCCGUUCAUAAAAGGGUUGGACUCAAAAUGGAUCGGGUGAAAAAUGGGCUAUAUUAGAAAUGAAAAGGGUUGGGUUUUAAAUGGGUUGUAUUAAAAAUAAAAGGGCCGAGUUUAAUCAUGUUAUUCUCUCUUCUCUCUCCCCUCUGACUGCUUUCUAUUCUGCGCCCCCCUAAAUUAAAUCCUAAAAAAUUUCCCCCAAAAUUUUCCCAAAUCAUAAACCCUAAAUUCUCUCUCCUCUCUACUUAUGUGUGAUAAUCUCUUCAGCUUCUGUUUUAUGAUAAAUUGAAAGAGGCAUCUUUCUUCUCUCUCUUUUUUUGGUUAAUUUUAUCUGUUUUAGUGAUUUUAUUUGCGGGCAAUUGAUUUCGAUUUCAGUUAGUACGGUAGCUUCAGAGUCUGGAUUUAGCAUUGGAGGAAAGACAGUCUCCGCUAUUCGUAGCUCUUUGAAUCCCAAAACUGUUCAAGCAUUAGUUUGUGUUCAAUAUUGGCAUCGUGAAGAGCAUGGUAUUGCUCUUGAUUUGGAUCAUGAUUCAAACUAUUGUGAUGAGGCCAUAAAUGAAGACGAGGAUGAUGAGAGUGAUGCAACUAGCUUCUUUGAUUAGAGCCAAAGAGUUUUAUGAAAUAUGUCAUUCUAAUUUUCGAUCAAAGAAGACAGCCGACAAAGCCAAAUCUUCCCGCUAUUUCAGACAUAAAAAAAAUCCGAGGGUUAGGGUUUAACAAAAAAUGGGGAAAUUAUCUAUAAAAAAUCGUGAGAAGAGAGAUAAAAAAAUGGCGAUGAAAGGAAAGGGAAGAAAAGCGCGAGAUGAAGAACCUUCAACACCGGUGGAAUCGAUCCUACACUGAUUUUCGAGCUACUCGACCAUUGAACCGAAGCUCCUUUAGCCAAGAAUUGAGAGGAUGAGACCGACAAGUGAGAGGUGAGAGGAUGAAAGGAGAGAGAGGAGAGAGAGAGAGGGGAUGAGAGGAGAGAAACGAUGAAAGAACGGGUGAGAGGAAAGAGGAGGAGAGAGAGGAGGGCGUAAGAUCUGAGGGAAAGAGGCGCAUGAGAGAUGAAAGGAGGACGAAAAAACCCUAACACGCCUUAUAUACUUUUUUGUCAAUAUCUUUUAAUGAUAUCACUACUACAAAAAAGGGCAAACAUAACACUCCUAAAUUAACUCUUAUUUAAGCAACUGAUAUGUAAAGUCUAAAUUUAACGUUUUAACCGUAGAACUGUUAUCUUAGGUUGUAUUGAUAAUAUAUCACUUAACACUUGUCUUAAUGUGUGUUAUCUUUGCUAUGAAAUUAUUAUGUGAUGCUUCGAUUUUUUUAUGAGAAUAAUAAAAACUAUUAUCUUUGAUUAUUAAUAAUAAUAAUAAAUCUGUCAUAAUAAUUUAAUUGAAAAAAAAACUAUCAUGGCUAGAAAUUAGGAGCACUUACUAUGUAUUCUUGCUCUAAACCCGUCUUUUUUAAGUUCUAAGUUGCUGUAAACCCUUUUUGGUAGGUUUUUUUCGCCUCUCAAAAAAAAAAACUACCAUUAAAUUCUCUCUCCUCUAAUUUCUCGUUGCUCUCUUUUUCUUCAAAUUUCUUCUCUUAAGAAUGGCGGCAGUGGAAAUCAUGGAACCGGUAUUAGUUACUACCGAAUCGUUUCAAGCAGAUGUCAAACUCUUCAACCAAUAUAACCAAAAAAUUGAAAAAUCAAAAGAAAUCCUAAACUUAAUGUUGCCGUUUCCGUUCAAUCUCUCUCUCAAACUCAAACACUUCUUUCACUCUCUAUUCUCCGUCUCUCUCAGUUCCCCUCGUUAGUCGGCGUCGGUCGCCUCGAGUUAUUGUUUGUCGUUGGCUUCUAGGUAUGCUUAACACGAUUAAUUCUUACGGUUGUGGGCUUCUAGGGCUUAUUCUUUGCUUCUUAAUGCGCCAUUCUUCUCUAAUUGUUGCUGAGUUGUCGCACCGGUGAUUUCCGCCACCUCUACCGCCUGCCGGGUCUGCGGUCUGUGUGACUGUAGAUUUUAGCCUGCUGUACUGUUGGUUAAUUUUCUUUGUUUCUUUCUCAAAAGCUCUUUCAAUUUAUUUUCCAUCUAAAGAUUUAAUGAUUUGUGAGUUUAUGGGUUCAUGAAUUGUGUGGAUUUAUGGGUUUGUGAAUUAGGAAUCUAUUGAUUUUUGAACUUAAAAAUCAAAAAGAUUGUAUUUAUGAAUUUAAAAAUUAAAAGACUGAAUUUGUGAAUUGGGAAUUUACAGUGUUGGUAAAUUAUAACUUGUUUACUUUGUUAUUGAAUUCAAUUGGUGAAUGAGUGAAUUAUAAUUUGUGAAUUUCUUAUUAAUACACAAUUAUACAUAUUUGUUA